RNAcentral lists this ribosomal RNA (372 nucleotides) under uncultured bacterium. RNAcentral's name for it is "bacterial SSU rRNA". It matches the Rfam family "Bacterial small subunit ribosomal RNA", at positions 525 to 896 of the family's 1533-position model. The record is from RNAcentral.
ACGGAGGGAGCUAGCGUUGUUCGGAAUUACUGGGCGUAAAGCGUACGUAGGCGGUGACUCAAGUCAGAGGUGAAAGCCUGGAGCUCAACUCCAGAACUGCCUUUGAAACUAGGUCGCUAGAAUCACGGAGAGGUGAGUGGAAUUCCGAGUGUAGAGGUGAAAUUCGUAGAUAUUCGGAAGAACACCAGUGGCGAAGGCGGCUCACUGGACGUGUAUUGACGCUGAGGUACGAAAGCGUGGGGAGCAAACAGGAUUAGAUACCCUGGUAGUCCACGCCGUAAACGAUGAUAACUAGCUGCCAGGGCUCUUAGAGCUUUGGUGGCGCAGCUAACGCAUUAAGUUAUCCGCCUGGGGAGUACGGUCGCAAGAUUA